AUUGAACGCUGGCGGAAUGCUUUACACAUGCAAGUCGAACGGCAGCACGGACUUCGGUCUGGUGGCGAGUGGCGAACGGGUGAGUAAUGUAUCGGAACGUGCCCAGUCGUGGGGGAUAACGUAGAGAAAAUUACGCUAAUACCGCAUACGAUCUAUGGAUGAAAGCGGGGGAUCGCAAGACCUCGCGCGAUUGGAGCGGCCGAUAUCAGAUUAGGUAGUUGGUGGGGUAAAGGCCCACCAAGCCAACGAUCUGUAGCUGGUUUGAGAGGAUGAUCAGUCACACUGGAACUGAGACACGGUCCAGACUCCUACGGGAGGCAGCAGUGGGGAAUUUUGGACAAUGGGCGAAAGCCUGAUCCAGCCAUUCCGCGUGCAGGAUGAAGGCCCUCGGGUUGUAAACUGCUUUUGUACAGAACGAAAAGGUUUCUACUAAUACUAGGAGCUCAUGACGGUACUGUAAGAAUAAGCACCGGCUAACUACGUGCCAGCCGCCGCCGUAA
Molecule: ribosomal RNA, 500 nt
Filed under: uncultured bacterium
Lineage: Bacteria
Description: partial 16S ribosomal RNA
Rfam family: Bacterial small subunit ribosomal RNA
Source: RNAcentral